This 468-nucleotide ribosomal RNA is filed under the name uncultured bacterium. RNAcentral's name for it is "partial 16S ribosomal RNA". It matches the Rfam family "Bacterial small subunit ribosomal RNA", at positions 28 to 507 of the family's 1533-position model. The record is from RNAcentral.
GACGAACGCUGGCGGCGUGCUUAACACAUGCAAGUCGAACGGAAAGGCCCUGCUUUUGUGGGGUGCUCGAGUGGCGAACGGGUGAGUAACACGUGAGUAACCUGCCCUUGACUUUGGGAUAACUUCAGGAAACUGGGGCUAAUACCUGCUAGGAGCUCCUGCUGCAUGGUGGGGGUUGGAAAGUUUCGGCGGGUGGGGAUGGACUCGCGGCUUAUCAGCUUGUUGGUGGGGUAGUGGCUUACCAAGGCUUUGACGGGUAGCCGGCAUGAGAGGGGGACCGGCCACAUGGGGCCUGAGAUACGGCCCAGACUCCUACGGGAGGCAGCAGGGGGGAGUAUUGCACAAUGGGCGGAAGCCUGAGGCAGCAACGCCGCGUGCGGGAUGACGGCCUUCGGGUUGUAAACCGCUUUCGCCUGUGACGAAGCGUGAGUGACGGUAAUGGGUAAAGAAGCACCGGCUAACUACGUG